RNAcentral lists this transfer RNA (78 nucleotides) under Azotobacter vinelandii. RNAcentral's name for it is "tRNA-Arg". Lineage: Bacteria; Pseudomonadati; Pseudomonadota; Gammaproteobacteria; Pseudomonadales; Pseudomonadaceae. The record is from RNAcentral.
GAUGCGCUUGCCCGGGGGGCGGCGGCCGUGGCCUACGAGGCCGCGGGGGCGCCAUCGUUCGCUGACGGUGGUGUACCG